Molecule: ribosomal RNA, 544 nt
Filed under: Russula eccentrica
Lineage: Eukaryota; Fungi; Basidiomycota; Agaricomycetes; Russulales; Russulaceae
Description: partial 12S small subunit ribosomal RNA
Rfam family: Bacterial small subunit ribosomal RNA
Source: RNAcentral
GAAUAUUAGUCAAUGCUCGAAAGAGUGAACUAGCUAACUGAAAUCAAUAGAAAAAUUGAUAACAUAAGGGAAAAUAAUGAUAUUACCUUAUUAUUAGUGUCGUCCAAAUCUGGUGCCAGAAGACUCGGUAAGGCCAGAGACACGAACGUUAAUCGUCUUAAUCAGGCGUAAAGGGUUUGUAGGCGGCUUUAAAUUUACUUAUAAAACAAAAAAAAAAGUAAAGAAAAAAAGCUAGAAUCAAAUAGAGGAUAUAUUAAAUAAUGCUUAGAGUAGGUCUGAUAUCUUUAGAUACUAAGUAGAAUAUUAAAGGCGAAAGCUUUUUUCCAUUAAUGAUUGACGCUCAGAAACGAAGGUGAGGAUAGGAAAUAGGAUUUGAUACCCAAAAUACCCCUCUCUGUCAACGAUGAAUGGUAGUUAUUAAAAAAUAUUAUUAAUGGCAAUGUUAACACGAUAACCAUUCCGCCUUGUGAGUACGACUGCAAAGUUGAAAACAAAAAAAUUAGUCGGUUUCGGAGCAAACGAAGUGAAGCAUGUUAUUUAAUUC